Molecule: non-coding RNA, 1226 nt
Organism: Pelobates cultripes (western spadefoot toad)
Lineage: Eukaryota; Metazoa; Chordata; Amphibia; Anura; Pelobatidae
Source: the annotation of a GenBank genome assembly
CUCGGACUUCAAAUACCUACAGUCGCACAUCGACAAAUUCAUCUGGUCGAAUAAACGACCGAGAGUGAAAAGGGCGACCAUGUACAUCCCUAACAGGACGGGAGGCCUGGGCCUACCCCACUUACAACACUAUUACCACGCGACGCAAGCCACACAGAUACAACAUCUACACGCCCCACCGGGGACGAAGCGCUGGGUGGACCUAGAACACGACAUAUUUGGCUUCGACCUCCCCUCAUUGUACAUAUGGGUCCCACGGACCUCCCGGCCCAUGCCACCACCCAUACCCCCGACAUUAGCUAAUUAUAUCAGCACCUGGGAUAAGCUUACCCAAAAAUUCCCUAUCAUCAACAACCCAUCACCACUGACACCCAUACUGCGCAAUAAAGCAUUUAGCCCAGGAAUGAACCCAAAAGAUUUCUCACACUAUGAACACAACGACCUUUAUAGAAUAUGCCACUUCUUUGAGGGAGGAAAACUAAUGCAAUACAAAGACCUUCCCCAACAACACUCACCAUACAACACACAUGACUUUUUCAGAUACAUACAACUAAAGAGCUUUUUGGAACUCCCUGAAAAUAGGAUAGCAGCCACCAACAGAUGUACAACAUUUGAACGAGCAUGCAUGCAUAACCCAGCCCGCAAGGGCCAGAUCACUGAUAACUAUAGCCUGCUCAUCUCUACUCAUGCCCCAGGAGCGAUGGCAUAUGUGGCGGCUUGGGAGAGGGAUCUGGGGCCACCGGGAGACCCGAAUGACUGGCAGGACAUAUGGGAGGCCACAGCAUCUAUCUCUAUCUGUGUCAACCACAAAGAGCAGGCCUAUAAAACUCUACUACGAUGGUAUCUAACCCCCGCAAGACUAUACCGAAUGGGUAGGACCGACUCGGACCUCUGCUGGAAGCGGUGUGGGCAAAGGGGAACAUACAUACACCAAUGGUGGCAAUGCCCAAAACUAGCACCGCUUUGGGCGGAGGUGGCCCGCCUGGUCUCCAGCUUACUCCACACAGACAUACCCUUAGACCCUUGGAUCUGGCUCCUAUCCAAACCCUGGGAACCUUUAACCAGAGCCCAAAACAAAUUAGCAAACAGAAUAGCUCUGGCUACAAGGAGGGCGAUAGCAGAACUCUGGGGCUCCCCGGAGGUCCCCACUUUAGCCACAAUCAUCCGCAAAACCAGGGAAGCCAUUGAAAUGGACAGAAUCUCAGCCCUAGUCCAUGAAACGUCAG